GUGCUCGCUUUGGCAGCACAUAUUCUAAAACUGUGACGAUACAGAGAAGAUUAGCAUAGCCCCUGGGCAAGGAUGGCACACAAAUUCGUGAAGCGUUCCCUAUUUUU
Microtus oregoni (creeping vole) is the source of this 107-nucleotide small nuclear RNA. NCBI's taxonomy places the organism in Eukaryota, Metazoa, Chordata, Mammalia, Rodentia, Cricetidae. The record is from RefSeq and is a predicted model, not a curated record.